Molecule: long non-coding RNA, 2700 nt
Filed under: Nicotiana benthamiana
Lineage: Eukaryota; Viridiplantae; Streptophyta; Magnoliopsida; Solanales; Solanaceae
Description: long non-coding RNA (NBEN_LNC019429)
Source: RNAcentral
GCGUUUGCAUUCUCGGAUUCACUACAUACAUUUUUUUACGGUGAAUCAGUUGCUGAUAGUGUUUCUAUUCUAUAUUUUGGAAAAUUUAAAAGGACAUUGAGCAGUAUUUAUUUAUAUGACUACCAUUGCUAGGAAUUGUAUCAGAUUUACACAAACAAACUAGAAGCCAAACAAAAUGAUACUGAUCAACCUUCACGUGAACCUAAUAAUCCUUAAUCUAGAAUUAACAGCACAAUAUACAGUCAUUUAUUAUCAGUCAUUAUGAAAUUAAUCAACAAGCAUUACCCUAAUUAACCGUCCAAAUUAAUACAUGUCACACCAUCACAGUGCAGUCCCUCAUUUACAGUCCAAUUUCAAGUUCAUAUCCAGUUGCAUUAGGAAAUUAACUAAAUUAUACAAGAUCAUUCAUUAAUAGGAUAAAUCAAACAAUAGAUCUAAAGUAAAACUUCAAUUCCAUUUCAUUUUUCCAAGAAAGGGAACCAACAUCAAUACAAGCUCGAAUGUGUACCUGAGGGAAAAAGCAAAACUUCAAUUCCAUUUCAUUUUUCCAAGCAAGAGAACCUACAUCAACACAAGCUCGAAUGUGUACCUGAGGGAGAAUAAGAGAUGGAGAAGAAAUCAGCUCGAGCAGUGAAGAACAACAGUAAUAGCAAACAACUUCCAAUAACAGAGCAACAACCCAAUCCAAAAUAAUUCCAGAAAUCCAGCAAACUUGAGGAUAACCUAGAAAAUUCACUUAAAGCUUAACCCAUACACAAUUGAAAACUCAGCAGCAACAACAAACAACCAAAAUAGACUUGAAUGAACCCAACAUUUGUUUGAAAUCCAGUGUGAAUCAACCAGAAACUUGAACAGGCCAACAGGGCAACCCAGAAAUGCAAAUUAUGAACUAGAGUAUCAAAACAAACCUACAGUCUAUUGAAACAGUACAUUUUGGUCUUUUUUUAGAGGAAUUUUUGUUGUUUUUUGGUUUUUUUUUUUGAAUUCAAGGAAAACUAAAGGCUAAUUUAUGAACUAAACUUCAACUUCUAAAGCCGAAAACUGAGCAGUAUAUUUGGAAAUUUUUGGCUGAAAGAGAAGACCCCUUUUACAAGGCAUUUAAUGCUUUUUUAUAGCAGCAAAAUAGGGCAGCCCCCAAAUUUCAGUUUUUUUACUAUUAGUCCCUAUUCAUUUUCACUUUAACCCCUCAUUUUCUGACUUGUUUCCGAAGUAACUACCUUAGUUUUAUUGACAUCUACACUACAGCCCUAUUGCAGGGCAGCCCCCAAAUUUCAGUUUUUCACUAUUGGUCCCUAUUUAUUUUUCACUUUAACCCCUCAUUUUCUGACUUGUUGCCUAAGUAAAUACCCUAAGUCUAUUGAAAACUACACACUAGUCCUAUUCUAGAAGAUUCUAGGGCACUCUUUGAGAAAGACGAUCCCUAAACAACCCUUUCCCUAUUUCAUAUUUAUUGUUUUGAAAGAUUCUGCCAUUUUCUAUGCCUAAGCUACCCUUGUAACUGCCCCAAAAUUACGUCUCAUAUUAACUGACCCAAUCUUCAACCCCUAGUUAAAAUUCAAACCCAAGUUAAACUAACGACCAAUCCUCUCCAAUUAACACCAAUUCAAACUACUUAUAAAGAACUAAAUAAUAUAAAUAAAACCUAAUUAACUAAUUUUUCCAAAACUGAAGUUAACACUAAAAAUUAUAGCAGAAUAAUUAACUCAAAAGUUAUGGAAAAGAAUUUGAAUCAGAAGGAAAAACAGAAGUAAGAAUUCAACAAACACAUAAUUGAACCUACGACUAAACUCAUAUAGGAAAGUCGUCUAAGAUUCGAGACGAAUAAAAAAUUGAAUAAAUGAAUUAGAAAGACAGUCUAAACAGAAGACUAGAAUUCAGAAAUCGAAACUAAAAGGCAAUUCAAUUAAUCAGAAGUAGAGCCCUAAGAAAGAAUUAACAUGCCAACUUAAAAAAUUAAGCAGAAUCUUUUGAGGUAAUUAACUAACGAUAACGCGAGAAGAGAAAGCAAGAAUCAAACCAAGAAAACUAAUAAUGAACAUUACAGAGUACUCACUCGAGAGUUCUGACCGGAACGGCUAACCGGAAUCGUAGUCUGGUUAAUGUUAUUGAUUUAUUAAAGUCAAAAUAAGCCAAUAACACUAACGAGAAUACGAUUCGGCUUCAAGACCUUUGAAUGAACCCCCUAACGGAUGAACCCCCGGCCUUGCCAUUCAUCGAGCUUCAACAGAGUUUGGGGUUUGACAUUCCAACGAAACAUGGGAAGGGAAGUCAGGGAUGCGCUUGGUAUUAAUUCCAUGAGGUUUGAGGGUGAAUUAGGGUUUUCAAUCAACUUACAGAUUUGAAAUUCCGGGCUCUUGGCUGGGAUUUGUGAGAAAAUGGUAGUAGGAAUGGAAUGAGGAUAAGGUGAGGAGUAUGUAGUAUAAUUUUGGGGGCGAUUGGAGCUCCGCUGCCGGCAGAGGCGAUUUCCGACGGCGGUUUGAUGGCGGAUUAACAGAGGGGCUUCGAUGAAGAUGAAGGGUACGAGGAGGGUGGGUUUUGUCGGUUAAAAUAAAUGUGUGUUAGUACAUAUAUAUGUAAAACACUCUAUGAAUCCAUGGUCGUCAAUUCUGAGGGAUAACGGUUGAGAUCACAAGAUCGCUAGCUGAACGACGUCGUUUUGACUUGGGUGAGGGACCAGGUUAGGGGAAUGGACAUUAGGCU